CGCGGACCGCUUCAAGGUUCUGUGGUACCUCUGCUGGAAGACGUCUCCGUGGUUGAGUCACUGCUUAGAAAGCUUCCACAUCCUGCCUUCGCUGAGACACCAGGAGGAUAGACAGACAGAUAGAUAUGUAUUAUCUGAGGUGUUUACCAAAGCCGCACUACAGAGUAGAGAGAGGAGCCCACAGCACAUACACAUCAAGCGAAGGAUGUUCCAGUGCUCUGAUUUCUCAAGCAGAUAUACAGAAAACCCAUCGCCAAAGAAUGAAGAUGCCUUUUUGAAAAACGUGGAGCAGAAGUAGUCAAGGUGCAGUAAG
Molecule: long non-coding RNA, 313 nt
Filed under: Betta splendens (Siamese fighting fish)
Lineage: Eukaryota; Metazoa; Chordata; Actinopteri; Anabantiformes; Osphronemidae
Description: lncRNA (ENSBSLG00000025794.1)
Source: RNAcentral